Molecule: long non-coding RNA, 9426 nt
Filed under: Homo sapiens (human)
Lineage: Eukaryota; Metazoa; Chordata; Mammalia; Primates; Hominidae
Description: HSALNT0357716
Source: RNAcentral
CGAGCCACUGCACUCCAGCCUGGAAGAUAGAGUGAGGUUCUGUCUCAAAAAAAAAAAGUGUCAUCUCCACCACUGGCUCCCUGGGCCACAGACAGGCAGGGAGGAAAAGGACUCAGAUCCCUCGUGUGCCUUCCACCGACGGCUUCGCCUCCUCCUCUAACAGGCCUGUGGUCUGAUGUUGAGUCCAUGUGGCCCCCAGUCUAUGCCGGAGGUACUCCCCGGCUAACCCUAGAAGCCAGUUGUAUUAGUCCUUUUUCAUGCUGCUAUGAAGAAACACCCAAGACUGGGUAAUUUCUAAAGAAAAGAGGUUUAAUAGACUCACAGUUCUUCACAGGGCAGCAGGAGAGAGAAUGAGUGUUAGCAGGAGAAAUGCUGGGCACUUAUAAAGCCAUCAGAUCUCACGAGACUCACUCACUAUCAUGAGAACAGCAUGGGGGAAACCGCCCCCAUUAUCCAAUUACCUUCAUCUAUCUAGUCCUAACUUUAACACGUAGGGAUUAUGGGGAUCGUAAUUCAAGAUGAGGUUUUGGGUGGGGACAAAGCCAAAUCAUAUCAACGAUGUUAUCCUGUCAGAACUCAAGAGAAGGGUGAGGGCUGGGGGAGGGCCGGGGGAUGAGCCCAUCUGAAGUGGCCAGUGGAAGCAGUUGGCCUUCUGGAGAGGGAGGCAGGAAAGGCUGGGAGGUAGGUGGCCUUGGAGGCCCAGAGGGUAGGGGGAGAACGUGGGGGUGGAGUGACAGCUGGACAUCCCGAGGUAGGGACUGGAAAAGGAGGCCUAGGGAGUUCCAGAUGUACCCACCUUUCUCUUUGUAACUUAAUGCUGGUUGCAUGACCUGUAGGUAACGUUGCAGGGGACUUGGGGUACAGUAUGAGCUCUGUGGUUCCCUGCUUUGAGAAAAGGAAUCCUCUUUACAAACUUUCUAUGUGAUUGUGGUGGGGGUAAUAAUAAAGAGAGCCCCCCACUGCCCACCACAAGGGCAGUCAGAGGACCCACAUUGGCCAGAGUGUGUCACACAUUGGACGUGCUUAUUAGGUUGGGAUCAGCACGUGGACAGCAGGGCCAACUAGGGUCCAUUGUUAGGAAACUGAGUGCUGGGAGAGCAGUUGUCUCUCCUUCGGCAUGUGCUCUAAGGAGUCUGAGCUUGGACCUGCUGAGCACCAUAGCUGUCUCCUGGGGAGACUGUGUCUGAAGCUGGAGCCCAACAGAGCCCUGCAGAGGCCAGAGACGGGGAGGGAAAGUUCAGGACCUUGCUUGGACUCCUGGAUCCAACCUCACUUCAAAGUCAUGGUCACGGAUUUCCCAGUUAGAGAGCUCACCUUGAGAGGUGGGGUCUCUGUCCCAUCCCCUGGAAUCUAGGUGAGCUCUAUGACUUCUCUGACCCAUAGAGUGAGGCACAUGGUGCUGUGCCCGCUUCUAAGCUCAGGGCUAAGAGGCUGUCAGCUUCCACUUCUUGCCUUUCUGAUCCAGAUGCCAUGCUGUGAGAAGGCCCAAGCCACAUGGAGGAGCUGUGCCUAGGCCUGCAGACCACAGCCCUCACUCGGUUCCCAGCUGCCAGCUAUGUGAGGAAGCCACUUGGGAUGUCCAGCCCUGUCGGGCCUUUGGAUGACUCAGACGCCAUCUGACUAACCCAGGGAGAGACCCCACACAACACCUGCCUGGCUUAGCCAAGCCAACUCCUUCAACUGUGAAAGAUGGUGACAAAUUAUUGUUUUAAGCCACUAGGUUUUGAGGUUAUUAUGCAUUAUUUGAAAAUAAUUAAAAUUAUUUCAAAAACUGUUUAUUGUGACUGAUAUGGAUGCCUAAGGUCCUUGCAUAAAUGUGUCCUCACUUGAUUUAGAUGCCAAAAUAGGAAUCUGCACCUUGAAUCUCAUCAUGAGCUCCAUGAAGCUUUGGGUAGCCUCAAGAAUUCUAGAGUGCAGGGGCUUAAAUUCAAAUAACUCUGGCAGAACACUGAUGGCCUCCCUCCUCUGGCUGUAUCAUGCACAGCCUGCUUCAGCUAAGGGGACAGAAGGAGGGAGCCAGCAUUUCUCUGAGAACCAAUUAUAAACACCUUGGGGGAACUCUCAUGAUCAGUAAGAUGCUCUCAGAGCAUCGCUUUAUGCAUAUGCUAAGAAGCUGGGGCAAGAGUAGCUUUUUUUUUAAUAGUACAUUUCAUGUAAAUUUUUACUGAAGUGAACAGACAUAUACAAAAAUACACAAAUUAUAAUUAUAUGGUUCGAUUAAUCUUUGCCAAGGGAACCAUGUCACCAGCACUCAGAUUCAAUAAUUGAACAUUGUAAGCACCCAAGAAACUGACUUGCACCCUGUGUUGAUCAUGCCCCCCCAACAGUGAUAGUCACCUCAUUCUCCAGAGGCCUUAGGCAUUGCCUCAGGAUCAUGGUGGAAGCUUCUCUGGGUGGGGCUGCUUGGGGACCAGCCAUCCUGCAGUGGGCCCAUGAUAAGCACCUGUGGCGCCACACCCCUGGCUAGCAGGCCUGCUGGGAACACCUGUAGGAAGACCUUGGCAGGAUCAUUGGCCCUUGAGUCAGCUGCUUGCUCAACUUCAUGAUCAGAGAUAAAGGUGAAUGCAAGUACUGUGGCCAUGCCAUGCUUAGGACUCGAGAAUGGUGCAGCCUCUCUGUAGGCCAGGGAAGGACCACUAAUAUGGCUCCCAGCCAAGGGCCUCAGGGAUUCUGAAUGGCACAGUCUCUGCAGAACUUGCACUGUGUGGCUUCAGGUCUUCCAGGACAGCUAAAAUGUGUGGGCCUUGAGGGUGCCUUUGGGUGCUCAUAGCCUCAUUAGGGAGAUGAAGAGGUGAGCAGAUGUCACAUAUGCCAAGACAGUGGAAGCAUUAAGAAAGGGGAAAGGAUGGGGAGGAUAUCACCCCAAAGGUAUGGGAAAGGACCUGGUAUGUCUGGAAAGUGAAGAAGGCCAGUGUGGCUGGAACAAAAGGCACCUGGCCAGAGAGCUGGGAGAUGAGGGCAGACAAGGAGGAAGGGGCUUUCCAGGCAAGGCUGAAGCCUGGAUUUACCCAGAAGGCAAUGAAGAGCCACCAGACACUUUAGGGGGCCCAUGGUGUUGUAAAAUGAAGCAUUUGGGCUUUGUCCCAGGUUCCUGGAAGGGAGCUUGGCAUUUUCAGGGUGGCAGGAGUGUCUUUGCUAUUCAUCGUGGGUCCCUGGGGCCACACCGGAGUUUAUGCUGACCAGGUGCUUCAAGGUGGGACUCCAUAGCUUCAGGAUGCAGGCUGGCCAACCAUGGCAAGACCAGCCAUGUGAAUAAAGGGUCAGGACUUUGAGCCACAUGAUAUCAGCCUGACCUCUGGGGAGAGAGUGGGUAUUGGAAUUGAGUACAAAGGUGUAAGCAAUGAUUUCAUCAAUCAUGCCUAGGUAACAAACCCCAAUAAAAACUCUGGACAUUGUAGCUCAGUGCAGCCACCCUGGUUGGUAAUCGUAUAACCGUGUUCUGGGAGGCUUCACAUUUGGGAAUCUCCCCAAACCUCUCCCUGUGCAUCUUUUCAUUUAGCUUGUCCUGAUUUGUACCAAUCAAUAAAACUGGAAUUGUAAGUGCAGAGGUUGGUGAGUCAUUCUAAUGAAUUAUUUAUUCAACUUGAAGCCCUGAGUGGGAGCCUCUAUCUUGGUAGCCAGUGAUUGGAAGUGUGGGUGCACUGGGAAUGCAGCUGGCAUCCUGCAGGGCCCUAAGUCUGUGGCAUCUGUGCUAACAUCAGGUGGUUACUGUCAAGACUUUCUUCACUCAGUCAGGUCUGUGCUUCAGGUGCACUGCUCUGUGGAGUGGGGAGGGGGCCUGGAGUGCAUUUCUGCUCAUGGGGCUCAUGAUUUGAACUCAGGCCUAAUAUGUUAAUGAGCAGACACCUGGCCAAGCCCUGGGGGCCUCAAAAAACCAAGACAGGGGAAGCAUCAAGAAUGUGAUGAGAGAGUACGCGGCCAUGGGAGUGUCACCUUUGCCUCCUCUUCUCCCUGUGGCUGGAAAGGCUGGCCUGUCUGGCUGCCCAAGGAUAGAUGGGGAGAGGUUUAAUUGAAUCACCUACUGUGUUGGGUAAAGUAAACUGUCGUCAUUGCAAAUAUAAUCAGGACUGUAUUUUAACAGUAGAAAAUGUGAUUAUAAUGACAUAUUUAUCAGCUCCUUUCACCUGGGUGGAUCUGAGGACAUUUCAGAAAACAAGUGAUUGGAAUUGCUUGGCCUACCUCACACACUUACACACACACACUCUCACACACUCACAGAGACACACACUUAUAAGCACACACAGUCCUGUGCAUGCACACAAGUGUAUACGCACCCACGCACAUUUCCACAUGCAUGUGUGUGCACACUCACAUACACAAACACACAGAGACACACCCUUACAGGGCAUCUGGUGCUCUGGCCUGCUCUGACACGCAGCCCCUCCUGGGAGUGGGCAGUAAGCAUUGGGGGGACAUGUAGGUAGUCCCUGGGGAAGCUGGAAGGCUGACCACCUGGCGAGCAGCAGGGCGCACUCACUGGAGCCCCUGCCUGGAUGAGCUGGCUUUGCUCAGCUCCAGCUGUGGUUCCCUCUGUAGACUGUGGGAUCAGAAAGCCCUCAUCACAUGAUGUAACUCUCACAAGGCUGCAAUCUACUUCCCUGUCCAGGUCCCAGAGGCUCCAGGCUCUUUGUGGAGUCACCUGCUUGGGCAGCCACGGUUCUGUGGAGCUGCUUGUCAGAGAGUGCGCAGGCUCUGGAGUCAGUCAGACCUGGGUUUGACUGCUGACUCCAUCUCUUACCUGCUGUGUGGCCAUGAGCAAAUGCCUAUUCUCACUGGGACUCAGUUUCCUCAUCUACAAAGUGAAACGUGUUCAUACUUCCCUUAUGGUCAGUGAGGAUGGAAUGGGAUAACAUUCUGCACCCCGCCUGGCACCACAGGCAUAUGAGGUAUUCGAUAAGUGAAUGAUUGUGCCAGACAAGAAAGCUGCCUGCCCUCCUCCUCCUCGGCCCUGUGCAGGGACUGGGGUGGAUGAGAAAGCCCGUGUUUCCUGAACACCUGUUUGCACCAGGCACCUAUUUGGCUGCUGCCUGGAUGUCCUUCUCAGGUUCCAGCUCAGGUCUCUUGGACCAGUCCCCUGGUCUGGGGUAGGGAUGCCUGGAACGGCUCUAGCGGCAAGGCCAUAUCUCGCCAGGCUGCCAGGAUGAGCUGAGCAUUGUGUCCACGGUGGGUGUCUGAAGGAAAUAAUGUAUACAGUGGUCCAUUUCCAAGACCAAGUGCCUUGAAUCGGCUUAGGUCAGCAAACUAUAGAAGCAACAGGACAUACUAGGCCCCUGCUUGGAUAGCUGCUGCCUGCUUGUCGGCCUCCCCCUUCUUCCCUCUUCCCCACCCCCUUAGUUGCCCUCACCCGAACCAAAGAAGUUUAGAUAAAAGUUUAUUAGUCUGCAAGAUAGCUUGAUUUGUCUCUUCUUGUCAGCCUGCCUAGCUACUUAGGUCAUAAGUCAAACACUUGAAGAGCCCCUGAGCUGACUAGGAUUGCAAUGCAUUGUGAGCUGCAACAAAAUGCAGCAAGACAACCCUAAAAAAAAACACCUAAAGCCCCUACCUAACAAUCAAUAGGCAACAUCCGGGAAAAUUGUGACCCCAUAGUACUCAGUCUAUGAGCAACUGGGGGAGGGACCCGUACUCUAGGGAUAAACUGCUUGUCGAAACUGCUGGGUGUGCUUGUCCAUCAGACACCCGAUCUUGCAAGUUCAUCAUUAAAAGUUUCACUUUCGCUGUUCUCUGGGUAUCUGAGUCCAUUCUUUGGGUUUGGACGGCCUUCGGAGGCAGGCACUGCCGCUAUCCCACCGAGGAGGAGUCUGACACUGUGGGCGGUGAAGGCCACAGUUACCCGGUGAGUAGCUGGGCUGGACUCCACCCUUGCUCCCUCCUACAAUCAACCUCCUGCUCCUCCCAACAACUUUCCUGAAAGGAGGCAGUGACCACUGUGCCCUUGCAGCCUCCCCGGCAACCGACUUCUGAAUCAUCCCACUGCAGAGAUCUCAUUACCGCAGUGAGUGUGGCUCCAGCCUCCCCUCCCUUGGCUGCUAAUGAGCGCCCUAAUUUGAUUGCCUCCAAAUGAGUGUGAUGCAAAAUUAAAAGAUGCCAGAAGACAUGACCAUAAAUCCAGUGAGUUGGCUUCAAUUUAUUAUGUUUGAAUUCAAUUAGAUUUCUCCUCCGAUGUUUUCCGAAUAUUUAUCUAGCUGCUGGCUACAGAACGAUAACUGGAAGGGGCUGUUACUGUUUAAUUCCAGCCUCCUCCAUUCAGCUUGGGCUCUGGCAAUACCGUUGGAUGGAAAAUCUCAGCCUGGAUGUGGGGAGGUCAAGGGAGUUCAAGGUCAGCUGCUGAGCCUUCUGCCAGCCAGCCAGCAUAUUUCCUGUUGGGGAAGGGAUUCAAAGCAAUAUACCCUAUUAAAAUGUUUUAAAAAUGAUUUUUAGUGCAUAAACACUACAAGGGACUCCACAGAAGGGAGUGUUGGUGUCAAGGCCUUUGUUGUGUCACAGGCAGCAGGGGGGAUGGGGAUCUGGGGUCUGGGCUCAGCCUGGCCACGAACUUUGUGUGACUUGGGAAAAUCACUAACCUUUUCCAGCCUUGGCUUCUCCAUUUGCAAAACGACGGAGUUGGACUCUGGGAACUGUUUUCAGUGGCCCUGGAUUCUGCACUGCUACUCUCCUUUUAGUUUCAGGGUGUUUGCCCACUCUCCUUCCCCACCCCCACAGCCAUGUGUCCUGCUUGACCCUGGGAACCUGACGUCUUUAAGCUGCCUCUCAGGCUUUCUUACUGACUGGGCAGAGGUUGGAAUUAGCCAGUGGGAGACUCUAGCUGGAAGGCAAAAGUAUAGGAAGAGAGAGAGUGGUCAGUGUAUCCCCCCACCCCGUCCCCACUGCCCCUCCCCAAGGCUGUGUCUCUCCAAGACAUCAGCUCCUGCUGGAAACCCCUUCUCCACAUCUCUAGCUCUUACUGGCUGUGGCAACACUAUUCCUCUCUGUCUAGCCCCAUGAGUAACAGCAUCCUAGAGUUGUUUGUUUUCGUGCUUCUCAACAUCCCUGUUCAUCCUCUUCACCUGGCCACACUUCUGUAAGGACUACUGCCAUUAAAGUCUCAUCAUUUGAAGCAUUCAAUGCCAUUUCUUGCCAUGACCCUGAACAAUGCAGAUACUAAAUCCAUUUUUCGACUGUGGUUUUCCAUGGAGGGCUCCCCAGGUCUAGAGGGGAGCUGAGACAAAAGCAUUCCCGGCUUGGGAGCCUGUUGUGCAGUUGGGGAGGUCCCAGAGCACCAAGGCCAAGCUGGGGAGACGUUGUCCCUACGGGCAUGGCCAGGCCUCCGGCCUCAGGGAGGAGAGGGAGACGGUGAUCAUGGAGGGGAGGCCCUGGGAGUGAGAAGCUGGGGGAAUUGUUCCACCCUGCCCCUCCCCCCAACCUCCAGAGAGCGAAAGACGAUGGGAUGUGGGAGGAGGGCAAAGGGGAAGAGGAAGAGGCUCCCUGUCCUGCUGGGUCCUUAGCCAAGUUGGAAGAGGGAGAGUGAGAAGCCCGCAUCUAGGGUAAAGGAGUAUGCCCCCAGGGGAGGAGAGAAAGGCUGAUGACACAGAGGGCUCAUUUGCUCUGAAAUGGGCCUCCCAGUGGAACAGUGACGAAGAGGCAGAGUCAGCCGUGGCGGAAGAGCAGGAAGGAGAGGAGUCCCAGAGCAGGAUGGAGGGAGCAUCAGGGAGAUGGGUGGAUGGCCAGGGCUGGCCUAUGGGGCGAUGACCAAAGGUUGCAGGGGUGGGUUCAGGAAUGAGACCAAUGAAGUCUCCUGAUUUAUGGCUUCCAGCUUUGGUGUAAGUCAAUGACCCGAAUCUCUGGAGAAGGGUGGGGAAUCUGACUCUGAAUAUGUGGCCCAGGAGCCCUGCAUGAAGGAGCUGGGGCCUGAAGAGUAACUCUGCAUUGAGUACUAGGCCUCCAAAUCAGAUCCUGGCCAGCUGCUGUCUCUGAUGGCUCCCAGUCCUCCCCUCAGACCCACGGCCGUAGGCCAGACUGGCAGGGGCAAGAGGCAGGAGCCAAGUGGGACAUGUCCAGUGUCCUGGCCAAACAUACACUGGACGCAGAUGAGCCAUAUGCCUGGGAAACAGAGAAAUGGGGUGAGGCCAGGUCUUCUUGUGAGAAUGAAUGUGCCUUACUCUCUCCUGGAGAGAGGGUGAUGACAAGAGUUCAUUCAUUCAUUCAUAAUUGCUUUUUGAUUUAAGCAGGCGAGUUUGUUGUUUAACAGGCUGGGAACAUCUCUCUUUUAUUGAAACAUGUGACAUAGCAGGUUAAACUCCUAAAGAUUCAGCACAGCAGAUGAGAAUCAAGGAGUUUCCUUCUUAAAAAGCAUAACUUGCAUAUGAAUGAAGAUGAUUCCAAAUUAUGUUUUUUCCCCAUGACCCUAAAAUUUUAUCCCAAAUGGAGUUAUAAUAUUAGAUAUUGAUCAGAUCAGCAUUUCAUAUCAAAGCUCAGGACAUCCAUCUAAAUAUUUAAAAAUCUUUCACUCUCACAGCACAUCUUGUGAUCAAUGUAAAACAAACAGAUAGGAACAAAUCAAAUAUGAGAGAAGGGUUUAUGGUGAGAGAAAACAGUUUCUAUCCUCUCCCCUCCCCAGUCCUGGCCUCACUCUCCAGAGGCAACUUCUUGUAAACAUUUCCAUUUUUAGUACUUCUGGUGGGUGCCUCCACAAUGCUUAGUAGCAUGUAUAGGCACCCUUAUUUUUUUAUUCAUCUGGAGAAAAUUUAUCUACCUCCUGUGAUGGAACAUAAGAAAUGGCCUCAUUAUGCACCUCUGCUUCCUCCCUUCAUCCUUCCAAAGUUUUAUCAUUUUGGCAUAAUUAUUUUUAGUUUUCUGUUAUUUACUUUUAAAACUUUAAACCAUAUAAUUGUACUUUGAUUCUGCAUUCCAUCCACCUCAGGGAGAGUAACGGUCUGGGGCGGUCAGGUUGGGUCUGUUCCCAUACCCUCCCCUUCUUCUGAAAGGACUCUCCCCUCCCUCCCGGGGGCCUGUGCCCAUGACCAGCCAGUCACAGGGCCAGGCAUAUGUCCUGGGCCCUGGCCACUGUGGGAUACAGGCAUGCUCCCCAAUCUUGACCACUAGGAAUCCUGCAGGACUUUCACUACUAAAACUGCUCUCUUCAGGUCACAACAGUAACUAUCAGUUCAACUACAACAAAGGUUUCUGAAGACAAUGGCUUCUCCACCCAAGCAGGUUGUAUAUAAAUUCCAAAUAGAACUUGGCAUCACCCUGAAGGAAUUCUAACUUCACACUGUUGGGGAAAUUUACCAAGAUAGCUUCAGAGUAAACUAACUUUACACAGCACAUUAAAACAAAAGACAUUUAUUCAGCGUCAUGAUCAGACUAUUACAUUUAGCAAUCAACAGCAUGGGUGCAAAAAAAAAAAAAACCUAUAUUAAAACCCUUAGCUGGAAUGCUUUACACUUUCCA